RNAcentral lists this ribosomal RNA (253 nucleotides) under uncultured bacterium. RNAcentral's name for it is "partial 16S ribosomal RNA". It matches the Rfam family "Bacterial small subunit ribosomal RNA", at positions 524 to 776 of the family's 1533-position model. The record is from RNAcentral.
UACAGAGGUCCCGAGCGUUGUUCGGAUUUAUUGGGCGUAAAGGGUGCGUAGGCGGCGGAGUAAGUUGGGUGUGAAAUCCCGGGGCUUAGCCUCGGAAUUGCAUUCAAUACUGCUUCGCUUGAGUACUGGAGAGGAGGCUGGAAUUUACGGUGUAGCAGUGAAAUGCGUAGAUAUCGUAAGGAAGGCCGGUGGCGAAAGCGAGCCUCUGGACAGUUACUGACGCUGAUGCACGAAGGCCAGGGGAGCAAACGGG